UACGAAGGUCCCGAGCGUUGUUCGGAAUCACUGGGCGUAAAGGGUGCGUAGGCGGCUUGGUAAGUUGGGUGUGAAAGCCCCGGGCUCAGCCCGGGAAGGGCACUCGAAACUGCCAAGCUGGAGUGCCGGAGGGGAGAGUGGAAUUCCUGGUGUAGCGGUGAAAUGCGUAGAUAUCAGGAGGAAUACCGGUGGCGAAAGCGACUCUCUGGACGGCAACUGACGCUGAGGCACGAAAGCGUGGGGAGCGAACAGG
This 253-nucleotide ribosomal RNA is filed under the name uncultured bacterium. RNAcentral's name for it is "partial 16S ribosomal RNA". It matches the Rfam family "Bacterial small subunit ribosomal RNA", at positions 524 to 776 of the family's 1533-position model. The record is from RNAcentral.